This is a long non-coding RNA of Dalotia coriaria, 661 nucleotides long. RefSeq lists it as uncharacterized. Lineage: Eukaryota; Metazoa; Arthropoda; Insecta; Coleoptera; Staphylinidae. The transcript is spliced from 3 exons. The record is from RefSeq and is a predicted model, not a curated record.
GUUUUUAGUAUCGGUAUUGAUAUAUAAAUAACUUUUAUAUUACAUACCAGACGCAAGCGGAAGCUUUUGGUUCACGACAUCGUGCGACCUGUUGCGUUGCGUUGCGUUGUGGCUGCUUUGCCGGAUAAUAAUUAAUAACUCGGUGGAUAUUAAUAAACUUACUGCUCACAAAGCAACAAAGGGCGCAUUGGAGCGUACGGAAAUGGCGCUACACGAUGACUACGAUGACAAGACAAAAUAAAAAAUGUGUUUCUUUACAAAAUACUCUUAAAAAAGCACAAAGAACUAAAAGAAGCUUCGUCCAAACACGAAAAACCUUUAACUAAAUGCUUUUACCAUCGCCAUCCCAAGAUUAAAUGGCGGCGCAAAAAAUCCAUUAAAGUGAGUAAAUACUGCGUGUAUCACGCCGCAAAAGUAAAAAAAAUAUAUAUAUUGGCGUAGUUCUCCCCCUAUAUUCAAUCACAGACAUGCGUUGAAAAGAGAAAGAAGCCCGGCUAAUAGACGAUAGAGACAAGUUGAAGGAUUCAAGGACAUUGAAGCAUGCGUUGUUAAUAACGUGUUGAACUCGAGACUCACUCACAGCCCACAGCCUAGAGAGCAAUCGGCUACAAACGAAACACAAACAACAAAAAACUAUUCGAGGUAGAAUGUCAUCGUUAGA